UGGUCCUGUGAACAGUGAGAACCAUGCUGGGCCCCCUCAGGUGUUCACAAGGGCCAAACAUGCCGUAUGGUCAACGCCCAGCCCCAAGCACCCUCCUCCAGAAAGCUCCCUUGAACAUGUAGCAGAAUAGAGUAAGCACUGGAUUCAGAGCCACAGGUCAUGAGUUCAAGUCCUGACUCUGCCAUUCAUUGACUGUGUGAUCCUGGGGAAUUGACUUACCUCUCUGGGCAUCUAUAAAUUUGGAUUGAGGUUGCCUCCACUGCAUCGACCUCAUUUGAGGGGUGAUGGGUGACGAGAAGACUGCACUGCCCUUUCCCGUCUCCCUGGAUUCCCUACAGACUAAUUACUUCACUGGCUGUUGGGAAUUGAUGGGAGAGAAGUACUACAUUUGAUCAGUUUUGAAAUGUACACUUUACCUCAAUAUUUCAGAAAUCAGGACUUAUCUCUCCACUGGCAGUCUUAACUUUCCGUUGGCUAGGUGGCAACCCUGAAUUUAAUAUCGCUUCCUACAUGUGUCACUCCUAACAGCUUGACUGGAUGGCCUCAGCCUCUCAAUGUUUCUGUCCACAAACCCUUAAGAACCUUUGGAGGAAGAAACCAGAGUCCUGAACGGUGUCUGAAACGUUCUGCUGACACCUUCUGGUGAGAUCUAGAAAGUGCCAGCGGCAAACUUGGCAGAAUGGGAAUCAGUGGCAUGGAAUACACUCCAGAAAAAGAUGGAUGUUGCUCUCAGAAAUGCCACAUCAUCCUUGCUCCUGCUGGCACAGAGGACAGCAUAGUGUGGAAAAAUCUGGAUACUGAUGUUUCAGGGUCAGAAAGCAAACAUCAACACCUCUCUUUCUGUCUCUCUCACACACACAUACGCUCAUCCUCUGCCCUGGGAACAAGGUACCUCUCAUGACUGGGCAGAGACUUGAGCUCUCUUCUUUCUGCCUCCGGGGGCCUUUGUGACCGGGGAAGCAGCCCAGGAAUUCAUGCUAGGCAUCUUGAAGACCCAGCAGGUGCUUUCACACAACAAUGAAACUUACAGCUGCAGCAGAAGUCCUCCCACAUGGCCACCUGCUCCCCGCCACCGGGCCCAGAGCCCGCCCCAAAGAUGACGUUGGAACUGUUUGCUGCGUGCAUCUCUCCCGACAGUUUUUUGCCUAAUUUGCUUUGUUGUAAUUUGAGUUUCAUCUGAGUUAACACAAUUGGUUAACAUAAACGGUAUCCUGUAUAUUCAUGCUUUUGCAAUUUGCUUUCUCCACGUAACAAUAUAAUCUUGGGAGAACUUUCCAUAUUAAUGUAUCUAGGACGACCUCAUUUCUAAACUGCUGAAUAGUGAUAGUUUACCCUUUUCCAUGUUGAUAGACAUUUGGGUUGUUUAUUUUAUUUUACAUAUUUGUGUUGCUAUUAUAAACAAUGCAAAAUAAACAUCCUUGAACAGCCUGUUUGUAGGAAGUAGAAUUUUUUGGUUUAAGGUAUUGCACAUUUUCAUUUGAGAAGAUGUGACCAAAUUGUCCUCCCAAAAUGCUGGCCUUUUACACUCCCA
Molecule: long non-coding RNA, 1531 nt
Filed under: Equus caballus (horse)
Lineage: Eukaryota; Metazoa; Chordata; Mammalia; Perissodactyla; Equidae
Description: lncRNA (ENSECAG00000055181.1)
Source: RNAcentral